Molecule: ribosomal RNA, 253 nt
Filed under: uncultured bacterium
Lineage: Bacteria
Description: partial 16S ribosomal RNA
Rfam family: Bacterial small subunit ribosomal RNA
Source: RNAcentral
UACGGAGGGUGCGAGCGUUGUCCGGAAUCACUGGGCGUAAAGGGCGCGUAGGCGGCUCGGUAAGGAGGGGGUGAAAUCCUGCGGCUUAACCGCAGGGCUGCCUUCUAAACUGUCGAGCUCGAGCACGGUAGAGGCAGAUGGAAUUCCCGGUGUAGCGGUGGAAUGCGUAGAGAUCGGGAAGAACAUCAGUGGCGAAGGCGGUCUGCUGGGCCGUUGCUGACGCUGAGGCGCGACAGCGUGGGGAGCAAACAGG